ACGAACGCUGGCGGCAGGCUUAACACAUGCAAGUCGAGCGCCCCGCAAGGGGAGCGGCAGACGGGUGAGUAACGCGUGGGAAUCUACCGUGCCCUAAGGAAUAGCUCCGGGAAACUGGAAUUAAUACCUUAUACGCCCCCCUUUAAAAUUCCAGGACGAAUAAAAUGCCUUGGCAUUUUAUGGGGGGGAAAGAUUUAUCGGGGUAUGAUGAGCCCGCGUUGGAUUAGCUAGUUGGUGGGGUAAAGGCCUACCAAGGCGACGAUCCAUAGCUGGUCUGAGAGGAUGAUCAGCCACAUUGGGACUGAGACACGGCCCAAACUCCUACGGGAGGCAGCAGUGGGGAAUAUUGGACAAUGGGCGCAAGCCUGAUCCAGCCAUGCCGCGUGAGUGAUGAAGGCCCUAGGGUUGUAAAGCUCUUUCACCGGUGAAGAUAAUGACGGUAACCGGAGAAGAAGCCCCGGCUAACUUCGU
RNAcentral lists this ribosomal RNA (471 nucleotides) under uncultured bacterium. RNAcentral's name for it is "bacterial SSU rRNA". It matches the Rfam family "Bacterial small subunit ribosomal RNA", at positions 29 to 506 of the family's 1533-position model. The record is from RNAcentral.